CUACAGGCUUAACACAUGCAAGUCGAGGGGCAGCAUGGUCUUAGCUUGCUAAGGCCGAUGGCGACCGGCGCACGGGUGAGUAACACGUAUCCAACCUGCCGUCUACUCUUGGACAGCCUUCUGAAAGGAAGAUUAAUACAAGAUGGCAUCAUGAGUCCGCAUGUUCACAUGAUUAAAGGUAUUCCGGUAGACGAUGGGGAUGCGUUCCAUUAGAUAGUAGGCGGGGUAACGGCCCACCUAGUCUUCGAUGGAUAGGGGUUCUGAGAGGAAGGUCCCCCACAUUGGAACUGAGACACGGUCCAAACUCCUACGGGAGGCAGCAGUGAGGAAUAUUGGUCAAUGGGCGAGAGCCUGAACCAGCCAAGUAGCGUGAAGGAUGACUGCCCUAUGGGUUGUAAACUUCUUUUAUAAAGGAAUAAAGUCGGGUAUGCAUACCCGUUUGCAUGUACUUUAUGAAUAAGGAUCGGCUAACUCCGUGCCAGCAGCCGCGGUAAUACGGAGGAUCCGAGCGUUAUCCGGAUUUAUUGGGUUUAAAGGGAGCGUAGAUGGAUGUUUAAGUCAGUUGUGAAAGUUUGCGGCUCAACCGUAAAAUUGCAGUUGAUACUGGAUAUCUUGAGUGCAGUUGAGGCAGGCGGAAUUCGUGGUGUAGCGGUGAAAUGCUUAGAUAUCACGAAGAACUCCGAUUGCGAAGGCAGCCUGCUAAGCUGCAACUGACAUUGAGGCUCGAAAGUGUGGGUAUCAAAGAGGAUUAGAUACCCUGGUAGUCCACACGGGUAAACGAUGAAUACUCGCUGUUUGCGAUAUACAGCAAGCGGCCAAGCGAAAGCGUUAAGUAUUCCACCUGGGGAGUACGCCGGCAACGGUGAAACUCAAAGGAAUUGACGGGGGCCCGCACAAGCGGAGGAACAUGUGGUUUAAUUCGAUGAUACGCGAGGAACCUUACCCGGGCUUAAAUUGCAGAUGAAUUACGGUGAAAGCCGUAAGCCGCAAGGCAUCUGUGAAGGUGCUGCAUGGUUGUCGUCAGCUCGUGCCGUGAGGUGUCGGCUUAAGUGCCAUAACGAGCGCAACCCUUGUUGUCAGUUACUAACAGGUUCCGCUGAGGACUCUGACAAGACUGCCAUCGUAAGAUGUGAGGAAGGUGGGGAUGACGUCAAAUCAGCACGGCCCUUACGUCCGGGGCUACACACGUGUUACAAUGGGGGGUACAGAGGGCCGCUACCACGCGAGUGGAUGCCAAUCCCAAAAACCUCUCUCAGUUCGGACUGGAGUCUGCAACCCGACUCCACGAAGCUGGAUUCGCUAGUAAUCGCGCAUCAGCCACGGCGCGGUGAAUACGUUCCCGGGCCUUGCACU
Molecule: ribosomal RNA, 1353 nt
Filed under: uncultured bacterium
Lineage: Bacteria
Description: bacterial SSU rRNA
Rfam family: Bacterial small subunit ribosomal RNA
Source: RNAcentral